GGCUCAGGACGAACGCUGGCGGCGUGCUUAACACAUGCAAGUCGAACGGUAAGGCCCCUUCGGGGGUACACGAGUGGCGAACGGGUGAGUAACACGUGAGCAACCUGCCCUUGACUCUGGAAUAACAGUUGGAAACAGCUGCUAAUACUGGAUAUUCAUCGUCUCCUUCCUGGGGGGUGGUGGAAAGCUCCGGCGGUCAGGGAUGGGCUCGCGGCCUAUCAGCUUGUUGGUGAGGUAAUGGCUCACCAAGGCUUCGACGGGUAGCCGGCCUGAGAGGGCGACCGGCCACACUGGGACUGAGAUACGGCCCAGACUCCUACGGGAGGCAGCAGUGGGGAAUAUUGCACAAUGGGCGCAAGCCUGAUGCAGCAACGCCGCGUGCGGGAUGACGGCCUUCGGGUUGUAAACCGCUUUCAGUAGGGACGAAGGG
RNAcentral lists this ribosomal RNA (430 nucleotides) under Microlunatus sp. RNAcentral's name for it is "bacterial SSU rRNA". It matches the Rfam family "Bacterial small subunit ribosomal RNA", at positions 21 to 452 of the family's 1533-position model. Lineage: Bacteria; Bacillati; Actinomycetota; Actinomycetes; Propionibacteriales; Propionibacteriaceae. The record is from RNAcentral.